UGGAAAACUUCUUUGUAAUUACUCUAAAUCUAUUCAAAUUUAUUUUCUACCCUAUUUGGCAUGAUUUCCAAAGUGUUUUUUAGUACUGUACAAAAUUGCAUAGCAUUUGUAUAAAUAUUUCCAUCAUAGUAUACAAACAAACUUUUUCCGAUGAUGUCCAUUUGAUGAAAUAUCAUGUGGUGCGACCAUCAAGAAACAACCAAUUUGGGACUUUUAUGCUGAAAUCCAUUCAAAGACAGGAAGUUGCAUCAUACACCAUUUUGCCAAGGACCCAUGGAAGAAAGAACAGAUGCCACUUCCAAGCAAAAUAAAAACCGCUCGCCAUAGGCAGCGUGUUAAUUCUGACCCUGCAGCAAGAGCGAAGUACCUUGCUCGGCGAAGAUAAAGCUUCCAGAGGAGAAAACAGCAGGGAAGAUUCAAUAUGCUAAGUCAAGUGAGCUGACAGAGAGAGAGAAAAAGAAACAGAGAGAGAAAUGGAGAGCUUCCUCAAGUGCGUACAGGGAAAGGAAAAAUAUGGCAAAUGCUUUGCUAGAAAUUACGCCGCCAUCAAUGGAGAACAUUCCACAAGAUCUGGUUGAUGUGAUUGUAACCUAUGAUGAGCUUCCAUAUGUAGGCCAGGUCCUUGAAGUUGUGGAAGAGAAAAGAGUUCAAAAAGGUCUGGGAUUAAAGUAAUGCCUGCGACUUAAACCAAGUGCACCACAUUUACAGGUAAAGUUUAAUGAAAUGUUUGUUCACAGCUAUGUGUGUUGCACUUCAAUGUUUGUGAGUUUUUGUUUAUUAAAAAUGUAUAUAUAAUGUUUGUGUUCAUAAAAGUUCUAUCAAAUUUGAAUAAAAUCUGGUUUUAAUACAUUU
This is a long non-coding RNA of Pleuronectes platessa (European plaice), 852 nucleotides long. RefSeq lists it as uncharacterized. The record is from RefSeq and is a predicted model, not a curated record. The transcript is spliced from 3 exons. Lineage: Eukaryota; Metazoa; Chordata; Actinopteri; Pleuronectiformes; Pleuronectidae.